UGAGGUCCAUGGCUGGUUGCAGGUUC
This 26-nucleotide non-coding RNA is filed under the name Homo sapiens (human). Lineage: Eukaryota; Metazoa; Chordata; Mammalia; Primates; Hominidae. The record is from RNAcentral.